AUUGAACGCUGGCGGCAGGCCUAACACGUGCAAGUCGAGCGGAUGAAGGGAGCUUGCUCCUGGAUUCAGCGGCGGACGGGUGAGUAAUGCCUAGGAAUCUGCCUGGUAGUGGGGGAUAACGUCCGGAAACGGGCGCUAAUACCGCAUACGUCCUGAGGGAGAAAGUGGGGGAUCUUCGGACCUCACGCUAUCAGAUGAGCCUAGGUCGGAUUAGCUAGUUGGUGGGGUAAAGGCCUACCAAGGCGACGAUCCGUAACUGGUCUGAGAGGAUGAUCAGUCACACUGGAACUGAGACACGGUCCAGACUCCUACGGGAGGCAGCAGUGGGGAAUAUUGGGCAAUGGGCGAAAGCCUGAUCCAGCCAUGCCGCGUGUGUGAAGAAGGUCUUCGGAUUGUAAAGCACUUUAAGUUGGGAGGAAGGGCAGUAAGUUAAUACCUUGCUGUUUUGACGUUACCAACAGAAUAAGCACCGGCUAACUUCGUG
Molecule: ribosomal RNA, 484 nt
Filed under: uncultured bacterium
Lineage: Bacteria
Description: partial 16S ribosomal RNA
Rfam family: Bacterial small subunit ribosomal RNA
Source: RNAcentral